AAAAAUCUUGCCAAAAAAAUGAAAGUUUAUAAUUCACAAAUAAAAAAUAGGGGUUGAUCGUAGAGGGGUGAAAAAUUCAGAGUAAUAUGAAAUUUAUUAUUUUAAGCCAUCAAAAAAUAAAAAAAAAAAUUUUUGCCAAAAAAUUAAAGUUUAUAAUUAAAAAAUAAAAAAUAGGGGUUGAUCGUAGAGGGGUGAAAAAUUCAGAGUAAUAUGAAAUUUUUUAUUCUAAGUCAU
This is a long non-coding RNA of Cotesia glomerata, 234 nucleotides long. RefSeq lists it as uncharacterized. The transcript is spliced from 2 exons. The record is from RefSeq and is a predicted model, not a curated record. NCBI's taxonomy places the organism in Eukaryota, Metazoa, Arthropoda, Insecta, Hymenoptera, Braconidae.